ACGCUCGACACCUACGGGAGCAGCAGUGGGGAAUAUUGCACAAUGGGGGAAACCCUGAUGCAGCGACGCCGCGUGAGUGAAGAAGUAUUUCGGUAUGUAAAGCUCUAUCAGCAGGGAAGAAGAUGACGGUACCUGAGUAAGAAGCCCCGGCUAACUACGUGCCCGCAGCCGCGGUAAUCUGAGCGGGCUGGCAAGGC
This 197-nucleotide ribosomal RNA is filed under the name uncultured bacterium. Its description in RNAcentral is "partial 16S ribosomal RNA". It matches the Rfam family "Bacterial small subunit ribosomal RNA", at positions 328 to 539 of the family's 1533-position model. The record is from RNAcentral.